RNAcentral lists this ribosomal RNA (110 nucleotides) under uncultured bacterium. RNAcentral describes it as "partial 16S ribosomal RNA". It matches the Rfam family "Bacterial small subunit ribosomal RNA", at positions 1373 to 1482 of the family's 1533-position model. The record is from RNAcentral.
CCCGGGUCUUGUACACACCGCCCGUCACACCACGGGAGCGGGUUCUGCCAGAAGUAGUUAGCCUAACCGCAAGGAGGGCGAUUACCACGGCAGGGUUCGUGACUGGGGUG